This 376-nucleotide long non-coding RNA is filed under the name Jatropha curcas. Its description in RNAcentral is "long non-coding RNA (JCUR_LNC002658)". Lineage: Eukaryota; Viridiplantae; Streptophyta; Magnoliopsida; Malpighiales; Euphorbiaceae. The record is from RNAcentral.
CUUCUUCUUCUUCUUCUUCUUCUUCUUCUUCUUCUUUCUUUCUUUCCUUUUUCUUUCUUUCUUUCCCUUUCUUCUUCCCUGCAACUGUGCGUCACUGCCAGCAACUCCAGCAGCUCCAGCAACGUCAGUCGAUCACCACCACGUGCCAGUUGCAGUCGCACCACCUCCAUCGCGCGCCAGCACGUCCCGCAGCUCCUCCGCGCACCACAGUCAGCCCUCUGCCAGGCCUGUCGCGCCUACAACAGCAGCACCAGCUUCAAGCCUCGCUGCCAGCCGCUCCUCCGCCAGAUCGUGUGCCACCGCCGCCGAUCGCCACUGUCUCCGCCACUGUCAGUUGGAUCUGGCCACUGGCAGUUACUGCCCUUUGAUCCGGCAC